This 73-nucleotide transfer RNA is filed under the name Oreochromis niloticus (Nile tilapia). It matches the Rfam family "tRNA". From Rfam's summary of the family: Transfer RNA (tRNA) molecules are approximately 80 nucleotides in length. Their secondary structure includes four short double-helical elements and three loops (D, anti-codon, and T loops). Lineage: Eukaryota; Metazoa; Chordata; Actinopteri; Cichliformes; Cichlidae. RNAcentral also lists the same sequence under 1 other name. The record is from Rfam by way of RNAcentral.
GGCUCCAUAGUGUAGUGGUUUACAUAUUUGCCUAACAAGCGAAAGAUUCCUGGUUUGAUCCCGGGAGGAGACA